UGGGGAAUUGUUCACAAUGGGCGCAAGCCUGAUGACGCAACGCCGCGUGGAGGAUGAAGGUCUUCGGAUUGUAAACUCCUGUUGCUCGGGACGAAAAGCUCUGACCUAACACGUUAGAGUCUGACGGUACCGAGUGAGGAAGCCCCGGCUAACUCUGUGCCAGCAGCCGCGGUAAUACAGAGGGGGCAAGCGUUGUUCGGAAUUACUGGGCGUAAAGGGCGCGUAGGCGGCCCUCUAAGUCAGACGUGAAAUCCCCGGGCUCAACCCGGGAACUGCGUCUGAUACUGGAGGGCUUGAAUCCGGGAGAGGGAUGCGGAAUUCCAGGUGUAGCGGUGAAAUGCGUAGAUAUCUGGAGGAACACCGGUGGCGAAGGCGACAUCCUGGACCAAUUCUGACGCUGAGGAGCGAAAGCCAGGGGAGCAAAUGGGAUUAGAUACCCAGUAGUCCCUGAGCGGGCUGGCAAGGCGCAU
Molecule: ribosomal RNA, 470 nt
Filed under: uncultured bacterium
Lineage: Bacteria
Description: bacterial SSU rRNA
Rfam family: Bacterial small subunit ribosomal RNA
Source: RNAcentral